This 253-nucleotide ribosomal RNA is filed under the name uncultured bacterium. Its description in RNAcentral is "partial 16S ribosomal RNA". It matches the Rfam family "Bacterial small subunit ribosomal RNA", at positions 524 to 776 of the family's 1533-position model. The record is from RNAcentral.
UACGUAGGGGGCAAGCGUUGUCCGGAUUUAUUGGGCGUAAAGAGCGUGUAGGCGGUUUGGUAGGUCCGCUGUGAAAACUCGAGGCUCAACCUCGAGACGCCGGUGGAAACCAUCAGGCUAGAGUCCGGAAGAGGAGAGUGGAAUUCCUGGUGUAGCGGCGAAAUGCGCAGAUAUCAGGAAGAACACCCGUGGCUAAGGCGGCUCUCUAGUACGUGACUGACGCUGAGACGCGAAAGCGUGGGGAGCGAACAGG